AGUGAACGCUGGCGGUAGGCCUAACACAUGCAAGUCGAACGGCAGCACAGUAAGAGCUUGCUCUUACGGGUGGCGAGUGGCGGACGGGUGAGGAAUACAUCGGAAUCUACUUUUUCGUGGGGGAUAACGUAGGGAAACUUACGCUAAUACCGCAUACGACCUACGGGUGAAAGCAGGGGAUCUUCGGACCUUGCGCGAUUGAAUGAGCCGAUGUCGGAUUAGCUAGUUGGCGGGGUAAAGGCCCACCAAGGCGACGAUCCGUAGCUGGUCUGAGAGGAUGGUCGGCCACACCGGAACUGAGACACGGUCCAGACGCCUACGGGAGGCAGCAGUGUGGAAUAUUGGACAAUGGGCGCAAGCCUGAUCCAGCCAUACCACGUGUGUGAAGAAAGCCUUCGGGUUGUAAAGCCCUUUUGUUGGGAAAGAAAAGCAGCAGGUUAAUACCCCGCUGUUCUGACGGUACCCAAAGAAUAAGCACCGGCUAACUUCGUG
This 492-nucleotide ribosomal RNA is filed under the name uncultured bacterium. RNAcentral's name for it is "partial 16S ribosomal RNA". It matches the Rfam family "Bacterial small subunit ribosomal RNA", at positions 29 to 507 of the family's 1533-position model. The record is from RNAcentral.